GACGAACGCUGGCGGCGUGCCUAAUACAUGCAAGUAGAACGCACAGGAUGCACCGUAGUUUACUACACCGUAUUCUGUGAGUUGCGAACGGGUGAGUAACGCGUAGGUAACCUGCCUGGUAGCGGGGGAUAACUAUUGGAAACGAUAGCUAAUACCGCAUAAGAACAUUUACUGCAUGGUAGAUGUUUAAAAGGUGCAAAAGCAUCACUACCAGAUGGACCUGCGUUGUAUUAGCUAGUUGGUGAGGUAACGGCUCACCAAGGCAACGAUACAUAGCCGACCUGAGAGGGUGAUCGGCCACACUGGGACUGAGACACGGCCCAGACUCCUACGGGAGGCAGCAGUAGGGAAUCUUCGGCAAUGGGGGGAACCCUGACCGAGCAACGCCGCGUGAGUGAAGAAGGUUUUCGGAUCGUAAAGCUCUGUUGUUAAGGAAGAACGUGUGUGAGAGUGGAAAGUUCACACAGUGACGGUACUUAACCAGAAAGGGACGGCUAACUACGUGCCAGCAGCCGCGGUAAUACGUAGGUCCCGAGCGUUGUCCGGAUUUAUUGGGCGUAAAGCGAGCGCAGGCGGUUAGAUAAGUCUGAAGUGAAAGGCAGUGGCUCAACCAUUGUAGGCUUUGGAAACUGUUUAACUUGAGUGCAGAAGGGGAGAGUGGAAUUCCAUGUGUAGCGGUGAAAUGCGUAGAUAUAUGGAGGAACACCGGUGGCGAAAGCGGCUCUCUGGUCUGUAACUGACGCUGAGGCUCGAAAGCGUGGGGAGCGAACAGG
Molecule: ribosomal RNA, 773 nt
Filed under: uncultured Streptococcus sp.
Lineage: Bacteria; Bacillati; Bacillota; Bacilli; Lactobacillales; Streptococcaceae
Description: bacterial SSU rRNA
Rfam family: Bacterial small subunit ribosomal RNA
Source: RNAcentral